CCUUAGCUUACUUUAUGUGGACUUCAUUUUUACAAAUUUACCAGUCAUGAACUAUGUCGCUUAUUUUACCAAGAGGAAUUAAUAUCGGAAAAUUGUUGUGUUCCUUUUUAUUAUUGUAAAGAAUAAGGGACUUGAUCUGAUUCCUACCACAUUAUCACCAUUAUAUAGUUUUCUUAUUUUGACUUGAAACAAAGUUUCUCUGAUAAUAUUGCAUUUAUCCAAGUGAAAUGCUAGAAGGACAUGUGCUCCUGGUAAAAUACUAAUAUUUAUUUUUGACAUUUAUUUAAAUGAUUUUCUUAAACAAUGUUCAGAUAAUUUAUAUUGCAAUGAAUGGAUUGUUUCAAAUUUGCAACUGCAGAAACUGAAUGUGAUAGUAGUUAGCUUGCACUUUCCACAGAUGGAAACACAUGUAUUACCAGCACCUGAUAAUGACAAUUUUCCCACUGUCAAUCUUUUUCUUUUUUUUUUAUCACUGCAUAGUUGAGAUCUUAUCUUCACUUUAAAUAAAUUAAUAGGCCUUCAUGUGCAUCGUGCUUGAGAAUAUCUGUCAACGAUAUGGUAAAACUUUUCAGUACAAGGUAGUAAUGUAGUCCCCUUAAAAUAUGAAUGAAACAUAUAGAUAGAAGCACUGUAUUUGUGUAUUGAGAAGGGAAUGUUCUGAACAUUCUGAUUUACAUCGCUCUUAAUGUCUUACAAAAAGUAAUUACUUUUAAAUUUGGUGAGAACCAAAUGGAUGCAUUGUGAGUUUUUGAAUUGCUCGGAUUGAAACAUUAAUCAUGCUUCUGUUAGAGAAUAAUAUAAAUCAUAUCCUGGAACCUCACCUAAAAUCUUAAGCUUUUGGGUUGAGAUGGUUCUUUAACAUGGUAUCAGAGCCUUGAUGACCAAGCGGUCACGAGUUUGAAUCUCACCAUCCCCAUUUAUUUGAUAAAAAUUAAGCACAAGGUAAUGUGAGUUUGUGCAAGUUUCAAGCUCAAAUGGCUUUCACUUGAGGGGGUGUCUUAGAGAAUAAUAUAAAUCAUAUCCUAGGACCUCACCUAAAAGCUUAAGCUUUUGGGUUGAGAUGGUUCUUUGACAGAUUCAUGUAGAUUGAAUAUGAGAAUGAGAUACUAUUGACCAUAGAGGAGGGACAGUAAUUAAAUCAAAGUUAAGAUAAUCACUGCAAAAUUAAUGCAAUUGGAGCCAGAAUUUCUGCCGGGGUCCAGAGAAGCUAGAAGAGUCGGGGAUUGAUAGUUGUCUCAAUGGGAAACUACUAUCUAAUUUGAGAGACUGGCCAAAACGAAAUUGACAUUGCCUUUCUUUCCAGAGAAACUUUCAUCAAUUCAGACUAUUCUGUUGUGAAUCCUUUGAAGCAAUUCAUUAGGUGUAAUCCCCCAUUUCUUCACAUUUUUCUUGAAUUUUUGUCAUUAAUGGUAAAUGUGGACAUGAAAUUUCUUUUUUGGAGCUUUUCAUGUGUAUUUGCAGUGGUCAAACCUGUAUCCUGUGUUUGUUUUAAGGAUUAGAUUUUCCAUUAGACCUUGAGAGAUGACAUUUGUCACACAGAUAUUUAGCUUCUCAAUUUUAUGGUUCUAAAUUCUUCUAGUUUAUGUUCACGAGCUUUUUGUAAUCCAUUUGUUAAAUGAAGCUCAUUUACCUAA
Populus nigra (black poplar) is the source of this 1634-nucleotide long non-coding RNA. RefSeq lists it as uncharacterized. The transcript is spliced from 2 exons. The record is from RefSeq and is a predicted model, not a curated record. NCBI's taxonomy places the organism in Eukaryota, Viridiplantae, Streptophyta, Magnoliopsida, Malpighiales, Salicaceae.